UUGUGGCAUUUCAAAGCGAUUUUAAGCUGCAGCGCCAGAGCACGCGCUUGCGCAUAACUGGGGCCAUUGGACCCUACCGGGUGGCACCCUUAACCCGGAGCGCGAGGC
Molecule: small nucleolar RNA, 108 nt
Filed under: Dasypus novemcinctus (nine-banded armadillo)
Lineage: Eukaryota; Metazoa; Chordata; Mammalia; Cingulata; Dasypodidae
Source: RNAcentral